RNAcentral lists this ribosomal RNA (465 nucleotides) under uncultured bacterium. RNAcentral's name for it is "partial 16S ribosomal RNA". It matches the Rfam family "Bacterial small subunit ribosomal RNA", at positions 338 to 795 of the family's 1533-position model. The record is from RNAcentral.
CCUACGGGGGGCAGCAGUAGGGAAUCUUCCACAAUGGGCGAAAGCCUGAUGGAGCAACGCCGCGUGGGUGAAGAAGGUCUUCGGAUCGUAAAACCCUGUUGUUAGAGAAGAAAGUGCGUGAGAGUAACUGUUCACGUUUCGACGGUAUCUAACCAGAAAGCCACGGCUAACUACGUGCCAGCAGCCGCGGUAAUACGUAGGUGGCAAGCGUUAUCCGGAUUUCUUGGGCGUAAAGAGAACGCAGGCGGUCUUUUAAGUCUGAUGUGAAAGCCUUCGGCUUAACCGGAGUAGUGCAUUGGAAACUGGGAGAGUUGAGUGCAGAAGAGGAGAGUGGAACUCCAUGUGUAGCGGUGAAAGGCGUAGAUAUAUGGAAGAACACCAGUGGCGAAAGCGGCUCUCUGGUCUGUAACUGACGCUGAGGUUCGAAAGCGUGGGUAGCAAACAGGAUUAGAUACCCCUGUAGUC